This 434-nucleotide ribosomal RNA is filed under the name Streptococcus sp. oral taxon 068. RNAcentral describes it as "bacterial SSU rRNA". It matches the Rfam family "Bacterial small subunit ribosomal RNA", at positions 28 to 452 of the family's 1533-position model. Lineage: Bacteria; Bacillati; Bacillota; Bacilli; Lactobacillales; Streptococcaceae. The record is from RNAcentral.
GAUGAACGCUGGCGGCGUGCCUAAUACAUGCAAGUAGAACGCUGAAGCUUGGUGCUUGCACCGAGCGGAUGAGUUGCGAACGGGUGAGUAACGCGUAGGUAACCUGCCUGGUAGCGGGGGAUAACUAUUGGAAACGAUAGCUAAUACCGCAUAACAGUCGACAUUGCAUGAUGUUGAUUUGAAAGGGGCAAUUGCUCCACUACCAGAUGGACCUGCGUUGUAUUAGCUAGUUGGUGAGGUAACGGCUCACCAAGGCGACGAUACAUAGCCGACCUGAGAGGGUGAUCGGCCACACUGGGACUGAGACACGGCCCAGACUCCUACGGGAGGCAGCAGUAGGGAAUCUUCGGCAAUGGGGGCAACCCUGACCGAGCAACGCCGCGUGAGUGAAGAAGGUUUUCGGAUCGUAAAGCUCUGUUGUAAGAGAAGAACGA